AGUUGGAAACAAAUGAGCUCCAUGCUAGCCUUACUGUGUGCAAUGGAAAACACUUGCAAACAAAGAAUAAAUAACUCAUUAAGUGGUGAACCUCUGAUCCUGGAUCAAAGUCACUGACCUGAUGCUACAGUAGCCUUUGCCUUUACUGUGGAGGCUGUGAGCCGAGUGAGAACUGGCCCACAGCUGCCUCCACAGCUCCUGUCACUGAGGCUUUAUAUGGCUGCCUGCAGCUGUGGAGAGCUUGAUGCCCCUGUGAGAUCAUGAGAUGCUUGAAUUAAAAAUUUCCAGGUACUGUACAAACAAAAGAGAAAAGGACUGCCCAAAUCUGCUGCUGUUGGCUGCCGGUGAGAUCCCAACCCUGCAAGGUGCCAGCCAUGCUGGUAGGGGAUUGAUAAGAAGACUGGGGCGUCCUGGGAACUGAGGAUUUCAAAGUCAAUUGGUCAUGUCUGCUGUCUGGAACAGCCCCAGCAUUGCCAUUAUCUGUCCCCUGAUGAACCUGUUGGUGGCUGCAGCUACUGGAGGUUGGGAGCUGGGGCAUCCAAGCGGGAUCAAGGGGAGCCAACAGAGACAAAGACCCUCAUUGUUCACAUCUCAGCCUUGGAUUCAUCUUACGCAUCUUAUUGGUUAUGUUGUUAACAUAUGUAACUAGAGAUAUGGUGUUACUUGAGUCACUAGUGUGUGUUAGCAGGAAACCAGGGGCAUGCUGAAACUUGAAGUUCUUGUAGUUGACCCCUGACUCUGGGGUAAGAGUAAAACAUUCCUCAAAAACUCUCAUAUAAGUUAGAACGACCAAGUGUAGACUGGAUGGCAUAGCUCUGUGUGGUAGAAGACUUAGUUCUCUUUUGGUUUUACCAGAAGAUGUUGCAAGAUGGAUAGUAUUAUCUCUGGUAAAUAAAAGCGUAUUUUUUCAUAAGACUCCCA
Molecule: long non-coding RNA, 921 nt
Filed under: Manacus vitellinus (golden-collared manakin)
Lineage: Eukaryota; Metazoa; Chordata; Aves; Passeriformes; Pipridae
Description: lncRNA (ENSMVIG00005009546.1)
Source: RNAcentral